Long non-coding RNA from Equus caballus (horse), 2794 nucleotides. The record is from Ensembl. NCBI's taxonomy places the organism in Eukaryota, Metazoa, Chordata, Mammalia, Perissodactyla, Equidae.
AUGGAAUAUGGUUGGCACAGUGUAUUUGAUUAACAAGUCACAGUGGAGCGUCCAGUAGACAGUUUCUAUCUGCUUGAUGGGGUAAUCACUAUUUCCGUUGCGUAUGAGGAGGUUCAGAGAGGUGAAGAAGCUUGACCGAGUUUACUCAUGUGGCAAGUGGCAGUGCUGGGAUUAGAUCCCCCACUGUCUCCAGGUAAGAAACUCUGGUUCCCACGCAAAGUGCUCUCCUCCAGCCGGCUUCUGUCCUGUGCGCCGAGGUCCUGGCUUCCUCUGCAGCCCUUCUGGCCUCUUCGUCCUCACCGCCUGCAGGGUCUCUGCCAUCCACAGAGGAACUGGAAGACACUUGGAUUUAUUCAAGAACAAGUUUCGUGCCAUGCUGGGGAAUUUUCUGUGAGAAGUACACAUUUCUGUAUACAAGGGAAGUAAGAUGUAUGUUUUCAGUAAAGAAGGUAUAAAGAAUAGAGACAUUUUUGUUUGUUUUGUUAAGAAAGAGAAGUUUGUCCUAACAUUCUAGGAAACAAAAAAGGAAAGAAGGCAUGGGACAAAUUCUGAAUGUAAAAAGCAAGUGACGGAAGGUUUGUGGAAAUAAAACCCUGAAGAAAGAGUUUUGUGCGUGGUCAAGUUGGUUAAGAUUAAAAUGAAUUUAAUUAUGUGAAUAAGUUUCAGCAUCAAAAGUAAGCUGGCGCAGGGCACUCACUGGGGUCUGUGUCAGCCCGCCUGGACCAGCUCAGAACAAUGGCCCCCAACGAUGUCUCAGUCUCCGGAGAGGUCCCUCUUCUCACCAAGAUGUCCCCAGAGCCCACCAGAUUUCCAACCUGGGAAGAAAUACUUGGAAAUUCCCAUGUAUCUCAUGAGACUACAUGGAUUUCUUAAGAAUAAUUUCUUCUGAAAUGAAAUAUAUAAUAUUGAGUAAUUUUUAUUUUGUAUUAAGAAAAGAAUAAUCAUGACUUGUACUACUCCUAUGGAAAAAACCCCACUGCACUUGGCAACCAAGGCCAUGUAUAUAAUUUCAUAGGAGAGGAAAAUAUGAGACCACAGUUUAUCACUUUUUUGUACAUUGUUGCUUUGUAUCGCUACAGUAGCUGCUCUUCUUGAAAAUGUGGACUGUAACACAUAGUGAGUUUUAACAGAUCGUUGGGUGUUACUCUGUCAGUAGGACCCUUUUCUCUUAUUUAGCUCAAUGUCCACAUCACCACAGUCACUGGUAAAACUGAUAACUAGAUACACGUCUCCAAUUGUAGUCUAUGUGGGAACAAAAAUUUCAACAAAUAGUCCAACUUAAUAUGGUCUUACAGUCAGAUACCGCCUUAAUAUGACAAAGCAAAAUGUUAAGUUAUAAGUUUAUUACUAUGUGAACUAUUUUUGUGGUGUACAUUUACUUAUUAAUGUACGUAAGAUUGGUGUCUAUGUGUAAAGCAGUUUAUCACUGAAGUGCAGGAUUGUUUGGUGUAAUUGUGUUUUUUAUUGAAUUACCUUCUAAAUUCUGCUUGAGAACUUCCAUUACCGCCUACAAAUAUGUUUCCUUCCAUUGCUCUACAUGAAUAUCUCCCCUUGUCCUAAAUUUUCUCAUAAACACUAAAUGGGCAGUGAAGGAACACUAUCAAUAUCAUCCAUUAUAUAUGUCCUUUCUAUAGUGUAAUAUAUGCAAAUGAUUACAUACAUAUAAACGAUCAAAGGAUGACACACUAGAGAGCGUGAAUUCCUGUCCGAUCCUGUGACUCAGAGUCAUGGGUUUUGUAAAAAUCUGCAUAUCUCUUCAACCUCUCUGGUUCCUUAUUAGGGAACCUCCAUGGAGUCACUUUUUAAUAGAAUUAUAUGAAGUGAGCUUGAAGAACAGAGUGAUCAUGAAUGCUAUCUUCAAAUAUCAGAACAAAUGUCUAGACUGUGAAGUAAGAGAUUAUUACGAUUUCCUUCAGUUCUGUUCACUUUGAUUAUUGUAUCAGGUAGCUGUUGCUGCAUAACAAGUCAUACCAAAAGCAAAUAGUUUAACGUAAUGCAUUUAUUCUCAAAUGAGAACUGAUGAGGAGAAGUUAUUCUGAGCUCUGAUGAGCUCCUCGCAGGCUUCUUGUUGGCUGGCAGUCUCUUUACUGUGUUUCUCAGGAGCAUCCACAGUGUGUGCAGUUGUGGUGCUCUUCUGUCUUCAUCCACUUUCAUUCAUUUCACUCCUUUUAUAUCUGAAGAUUAGUCUUUAGUUUAUGGAAAAAAUGGGUUUGUCAAAUGUUAAUUACUUUAUUUUAAUUCCACUGUUCCUAUAUUCAUAUAAGACAUUUUUCUUUCUUCCCAGUUAGAAGAGAUAUCUUGCACCACUUUUAGGUGUGACUCAGCUACCUGUGCCCUAGAUCCCACCCUGAGCCAUGCACCAGCAAAAAUGUUAAAAUCUUAACUAAUUACAUAAAAUAAACUGCACAUAUUUAAAGCAUAUUUUUUAAAAAUAUUAAAGGAACCAUACAAAAAUUGAGUAUAUAGUACAUGAUUCCUUUUACACAUAAUUCAAAAAGAUGUACAGUAAUGUUUAACUGCUUUGUUAUGCCAUCAUAACAAAAUGUAAUCACCUGAGCCCUAAUUUCCUUAUUUCUGAAGAUAAUGUGAGAUUUACCCUAAAUUCAGAUGAAUGUUGGAGGAAUAAAUAAAAUGCGUAGAAAUACUCUGUUGAGUCAAAUAAAAUGUUCAAGUUCAAAAAAAAAAGUAAGCUGGCGCAAAAUUAGAAUUUGACUGUCUCUCUCUUAAGAGGAUAAUCUUGAACUUUUGGUCUGCUCUUGAUAAAAAGGUUAUAAAAAGGUUUUUCUUUAUUUUU